UAACGAAUCUUCCGCAAUGCACGAAAGUGUGACGGAGCGACGCCGCGUGGAGGACGAAGUUCUUCGGAAUGUAAACUCUUGUCAGGGGAAAGAAAGUUCUGAUCUACCCCAGAGGAAGAGGCGGCUAACUCUGUGCCAGCAGCCGCGGUAAUACAGAGGCCUCGAGCGUUAGACGGAAUCACUGGGCUUAAAGCGUGUGUAGGCGGAAGGGUAAGUACCUUGUGAAAUCCCACGGCUUAACCGUGGAACGGCUUGGUAUACUGCUUUUCUUGGGCAAUCUAGGGGCGAGUGGAACAGAUGGUGGAGCGGUGAAAUGCGUAGAUAUCAAGAGGAACACCUGAGGUGAAGACGGGUUGCUGGGCUGACACUGACGCUGAGGCGCGAAAGCCAGGGGA
RNAcentral lists this ribosomal RNA (395 nucleotides) under uncultured bacterium. RNAcentral's name for it is "bacterial SSU rRNA". It matches the Rfam family "Bacterial small subunit ribosomal RNA", at positions 355 to 767 of the family's 1533-position model. The record is from RNAcentral.